Molecule: long non-coding RNA, 250 nt
Organism: Pelmatolapia mariae (spotted tilapia)
Lineage: Eukaryota; Metazoa; Chordata; Actinopteri; Cichliformes; Cichlidae
Exons: 3
Source: RefSeq, a predicted model, not a curated record
GAGGAGAGACCCGAGGCGGCCGCCGGUCUGAGUGUCAGGUGAACUGAACUUCAGGACAGUUAGCAUGCAGUCUGGAGCAGCCAGGGAUCGACCCAAAAACCAUCUGAUUAGUAGAUGACCUGCUCCACCUCCUGAGCCACAGCCGCCCCUUUUAGAGGAGCUGGCGUCAUGUUGUGGAAGCUGCCAUCUUGCCCCACCAUCAUACGCUGGCUGAGAUGGGCAUCGCUGCUCCGCCUUUUCAUGUUUUAUG